This 1524-nucleotide long non-coding RNA is filed under the name Zostera marina. Its description in RNAcentral is "long non-coding RNA (ZMAR_LNC004745)". The record is from RNAcentral. Lineage: Eukaryota; Viridiplantae; Streptophyta; Magnoliopsida; Alismatales; Zosteraceae.
GCGGAUAUUCGUCAUCUAUACUAUUAUACUAAGGUUUAGAUGGGCACAAUCACCCUCUCCCACGAAUAGAUGACGGAUAUCCGCCAUCUAUAAACUUAGGGAACCGCCUGCUGUACUUUAGAUGGCGGAUAUCCGCCAUCUAAUGUUACAAGGAUAGUCGGCGGACAUCCGCCAUCAAUGAAAUUAACCGUCAUCAAUGAAUUGGCGCCAAACUUUUUCCGCGCCAUAUUUUAGAUUGCGGAUUUCCGUCAUCUAAAACUUUUCAGUUCCCGCGAAAAUUUUCAGAUUAGAUGGCGGAGAUGGAGAUGGAUAAUAGAUGGCGGUCUUUAGAUGACGGUUAUGGGAUUUUAAUGGCGGUGUCCAAGAUGAUGGUCUUUAUUUAUAUUCUGACAACUGUUUUUUAUUUUAAUGUUUUAUAUCACAUCAUCUUUUUUUAAUUUGCAACAAUUUUUUUAAAAUAAUAACUUGAUGGUUCUUUCACAACUUGGUAAUGGUACAUUCGACUAUUUACACAAACGUCAAAAAUAACUAUCAGACUAUACAUAUAUAGAAGUAAAUUUGCAUUUAAAUAAUUCACAUUUACACAUAAAAAACCUCAUAAGGACUAGCAGACAAAACACAAAUCAUAUAAGGACAAACAAAGAAAUAACCCCAUAUGGGUUGUAAACAAAUAAUCCUAUAUAAAGGAUUAGUGUAACAAUUUAUAUUUUUCAAUUUAUACAACUUUCAACAUUAACAAUAAUGAAACUCUUCCUCGUCCUACUUUUCUUUCUUUAUUGUUCUUCUUGAUUUUGAAUGACAAUGAUCUUGAAAUUAAAAAAAAAGUGUAAAAAAUCGUGAUCUUCUUGAAAAGAUAUGUUGAAAGACUGUCUUAACCUUAUAAGAAAUAAUCCAUUGAUAUUUUGGAAAUAUGAAUGGAAUAGUCAUUGGACUUGCUCCCCAUGGUAUAAUAAUUCAAAAAUGUACUUUCAAAAGAUAUUAUCUAUGAAAAUUCAUUUUAACAUUUUCAAUGUUUUAAAAGCAAAGGUAAAUCUUAGUGUAUUAUUUUCAAUAUUUAUUGUUAAUAAUAUACAAGUUAGUAUUAUUAAUAUUUAUUUUUUUAGGUAUUUCACCAAGUGGGAACUUCAUUCUAAAAGAUAGAUUUCUAUCGACAAUAUCAACUCUUCCAGGUUCAGCAAUUUUAAUAUGUGAAAGAAAAAGGAAUAAAAAUAAUGUAUUUGAAGAUUAUAUUUCAGAGAUACGUACGUAUAUGCUUAAAUAUAAAUCUACGCCUCACAGUGUGUGUAUCAAAAAACACAUGUGAGAACAGUUUGAAAUUUAACUUCGGAUAAUACUACAUCAUAAAACCAUCAUUUAUUUACUAUGUAAUAAAUAAAUCACAUGGUUAUUGGAGAUCGAAACAGCAUUCGUAGUGUAGGACGAGAACAUGGAAGAGAAGGAUUGUUUAGUUCCGGUCAUGAUAAAGGAUCGAUGUGAGGAAGAUCGACAAUAGUUGUUUCGAUAAAUAAUCGAGACAGUUAUUAU